This is an RNA transcript of Carlito syrichta (Philippine tarsier), 479 nucleotides long. It is a transcript of the gene named small nuclear ribonucleoprotein Sm D2 pseudogene, with no coding region annotated. The transcript has a single exon. Lineage: Eukaryota; Metazoa; Chordata; Mammalia; Primates; Tarsiidae. The record is from RefSeq and is a predicted model, not a curated record.
CAACGUGGAGGAGACACGAGUGACCUGAGAGCACAGCCGUCACCAUAAGUCUCCUCAACAUGCCCAAGAGUGAGAUGACCCCAGAGGAGCUGCAGAAGCAGAAAGAAGAAGAAUUUAACAUGGGUCCACUCUCUGUGCUCACACAGUCUGUCAAGAACAACACCCAAGUGCUUAUCAACUGCCACGACAAUAAGAAACUCCUGGGCCAUGUGAAGGCCUUUGACAGGCACUGCAACAUGGUGCUGGAAAACAUGAAGGAGAUGUGGACCGAGGUCCCCAGGAGUGGUAAGGGCAAGAAGAAGUCCAAGCCAGUCAACAAGGACCACUACAUCUCCAAGAUGUUCCAACACAGGGACUCUGUCAUUGUGGUCCUGGCGAACCCGCUCAUCGCUGGCCAGUAGGGGCCUCCUCUUGCCAAUAGAGCUUGCUCCCCUGCCCUAUGAAGACCUGCCCUUUAUGAUGGGAAUAAUAAAGUCCUG